CCUACGGGAGGCAGCAGCUAAGAAUAUUGGGCAAUGGAGGAAACUCUGACCCAGCCAUGCCGCGUGAAUGAAGAAGGCCUUCGGGUUGUAAAGUUCUUUUAGUCGCGAAGAUGAUGACAGUAACGACAGAAAAAGCACCGGCUAACUUCGUGCCAGCAGCCGCGGUAAU
Molecule: ribosomal RNA, 169 nt
Filed under: uncultured bacterium
Lineage: Bacteria
Description: partial 16S ribosomal RNA
Rfam family: Bacterial small subunit ribosomal RNA
Source: RNAcentral